UACGAAGGGGGCUAGCGUUGCUCGGAAUUACUGGGCGUAAAGGGUGCGUAGGCGGGUCUUUAAGUCAGGGGUGAAAUCCUGGAGCUCAACUCCAGAACUGCCUUUGAUACUGGCGAUCUCGAGUCCGGGAGAGGUGAGUGGAACUGCGAGUGUAGAGGUGAAAUUCGUAGAUAUUCGCAAGAACACCAGUGGCGAAGGCGGCUCACUGGCCCGGUACUGACGCUGAGGUGCGAAAGCGUGGGGAGCAAACAGG
This 253-nucleotide ribosomal RNA is filed under the name uncultured bacterium. RNAcentral describes it as "partial 16S ribosomal RNA". It matches the Rfam family "Bacterial small subunit ribosomal RNA", at positions 524 to 776 of the family's 1533-position model. The record is from RNAcentral.